Molecule: transfer RNA, 73 nt
Filed under: Stegodyphus mimosarum
Lineage: Eukaryota; Metazoa; Arthropoda; Arachnida; Araneae; Eresidae
Rfam family: tRNA
About the family: Transfer RNA (tRNA) molecules are approximately 80 nucleotides in length. Their secondary structure includes four short double-helical elements and three loops (D, anti-codon, and T loops).
Source: Rfam by way of RNAcentral
GUCUUCAUGGUGUAGUGGUUAGCACAAUCGACGCGCAACCGAAAGGUCCGCGGUUCGAUUCCCGGUGAAAGCG